GAAUUUGAUCUUGGUUCAGAUUGAACGCUGGCGGCGUGGAUGAGGCAUGCAAGUCGAACGGAAUAAUGACUUCGGUUGUUAUUUAGUGGCGGAAGGGUUAGUAAUACAUAGAUAAUCUGUCCUCAACUUGGGAAUAACGGUUGGAAACGACCGCUAAUACCGAAUGUGGUAUGUUUAGGCAUCUAAAACAUAUUAAAGAAGGGGAUCUUCGGACCUUUCGGUUGAGGGAGAGUCUAUGGGAUAUCAGCUUGUUGGUGGGGUAAUGGCCUACCAAGGCUUUGACGUCUAGGCGGAUUGAGAGAUUGACCGCCAACACUGGGACUGAGACACUGCCCAGACUUCUACGGAAGGCUGCAGUCGAGAAUCUUUCGCAAUGGACGAAAGUCUGACGAAGCGAC
RNAcentral lists this ribosomal RNA (398 nucleotides) under Chlamydia psittaci 84-8471/1. RNAcentral's name for it is "bacterial SSU rRNA". It matches the Rfam family "Bacterial small subunit ribosomal RNA", at positions 9 to 395 of the family's 1533-position model. The record is from RNAcentral. Lineage: Bacteria; Pseudomonadati; Chlamydiota; Chlamydiia; Chlamydiales; Chlamydiaceae.